RNAcentral lists this ribosomal RNA (283 nucleotides) under uncultured Actinomyces sp. Its description in RNAcentral is "partial 16S ribosomal RNA". It matches the Rfam family "Bacterial small subunit ribosomal RNA", at positions 28 to 309 of the family's 1533-position model. Lineage: Bacteria; Bacillati; Actinomycetota; Actinomycetes; Actinomycetales; Actinomycetaceae. The record is from RNAcentral.
GAUGAACGCUGACACAAUGCUUAACACAUGCAAGUCAACUUGAAGUUGGGUUUUUCACUUAGAUUUGGGUGGCGGACGGGUGAGUAACGCUUAAAGAACUUGCCUCACACCUUCGGACCACACUUACAAAUGAAUGCUAAUACCUGAUAUUAUGAUUUUAAGGCAUCUUAUAAUUAUGAUAACUAUAAGCUUUGUGAAAGAGCUUUGCUUCCUUUUAGUUAUUUGGACAGGUAACAUCUCACCUAGGCGAUGAUUGGUGGCCGGCAUGAGAUGGUGAACGGCU